This 76-nucleotide transfer RNA is filed under the name bacterium. RNAcentral describes it as "tRNA-His". It matches the Rfam family "tRNA". Rfam says of the family: Transfer RNA (tRNA) molecules are approximately 80 nucleotides in length. Their secondary structure includes four short double-helical elements and three loops (D, anti-codon, and T loops). Further hydrogen bonds mediate the characteristic L-shaped molecular structure. tRNAs have two regions of fundamental functional importance: the anti-codon, which is responsible for specific mRNA codon recognition, and the 3' end, to which the tRNAs corresponding amino acid is attached (by aminoacyl-tRNA synthetases). tRNAs cope with the degeneracy of the genetic code in two manners: having more than one tRNA (with a specific anti-codon) for a particular amino acid; and 'wobble' base-pairing, i.e. permitting non-standard base-pairing at the 3rd anti-codon position. The record is from RNAcentral.
GUGGGUGUAGCUCAGCUGGUAGAGCAUCGGAUUGUGGCUCCGGUGGUCGUGGGUUCAAAUCCCAUCACUCACCCCA